This 252-nucleotide non-coding RNA is filed under the name Pontibacillus marinus. Its description in RNAcentral is "T-box sequence". It matches the Rfam family "T-box leader". From Rfam's summary of the family: Uncharged tRNA acts as the effector for transcription antitermination of genes in the T-box leader family. Lineage: Bacteria; Bacillati; Bacillota; Bacilli; Caryophanales; Bacillaceae. The record is from RNAcentral.
CAAACAUCUAUGAUGAGAAGAGUAAGAUAGAUUGGAGUAUCACAGAGAGUCAACACUUGCUGAAAGUUGACAUACUGCACCUGUUCGAAUAUCACCUCUGAGAUGCUUGGCUGAACCUACAGUAAGCCAUGCCGGGUUUUCCUCCGUUACCAAGGAAUGUGUAUGAUUGUACACAACCAAAGAGCUAUGGCUAAAUAUUCUAAAAAUUUUGUCAUAGAAUUAAGGUGGUAACGCGAAACGCUCGUCCUUAUA